This 97-nucleotide signal recognition particle RNA is filed under the name Granulosicoccus sp. Its description in RNAcentral is "signal recognition particle sRNA small type". It matches the Rfam family "Bacterial small signal recognition particle RNA". Rfam says of the family: The signal recognition particle (SRP) is a universally conserved ribonucleoprotein involved in the co-translational targeting of proteins to membranes. The record is from RNAcentral. Lineage: Bacteria; Pseudomonadati; Pseudomonadota; Gammaproteobacteria; Chromatiales; Granulosicoccaceae.
UAUCGGCACUCUCGCGACGACAAGCUGUUAACCCCGUCAGGCCCGGAAGGGAGCAGCGGCAGCAGUGGAAUCGGGCGCCGGGAUGCGGCUGGUACGG